This 253-nucleotide ribosomal RNA is filed under the name uncultured bacterium. RNAcentral's name for it is "partial 16S ribosomal RNA". It matches the Rfam family "Bacterial small subunit ribosomal RNA", at positions 524 to 776 of the family's 1533-position model. The record is from RNAcentral.
UACGUAGGGAGCAAGCGUUGUCCGGAAUCAUUGGGCGUAAAGCGCGCGUAGGUGGCCUCAUAAGUCCGCUGUGAAAGUCAAAGGCUCAACCUUUGAAAGCCGGUAGAUACUGUGGGGCUAGAGUACGGAAGAGGCGAGUGGAAUUCCUGGUGUAGCGGUGGAAUGCGCAGAUAUCAGGAGGAACACCAAUAGCGAAGGCAGCUCGCUGGGACGUUACUGACACUGAGGCGCGAAAGCGUGGGGAGCGAACAGG